RNAcentral lists this ribosomal RNA (406 nucleotides) under uncultured bacterium. RNAcentral describes it as "partial 16S ribosomal RNA". It matches the Rfam family "Bacterial small subunit ribosomal RNA", at positions 30 to 526 of the family's 1533-position model. The record is from RNAcentral.
AUUGAACGCUGGCGGCAGGCCUAACACAUGCAAGUCGAGCGAGCGGCGGACGGGUGAGUAAUGUCUGGGAAACUGCCUGAUGGAGGGGGAUAACUACUGGAAACGGUCGCUAAUACCGCAUACCAUCAGAUGUUACCAGAAGGGAUUAGCUGGGAGGUGGGGUAACGGCUCACCUAGGCGACUAUCCCUAGCUGGUCUGAGAGGAUGACCAGCCACACUGGAACUGAGACACGGUCCAGACUCCUACGGGAGGCAGAAGUGGGGAAUAUUGGACAAUGGGCGCAAGCCUGACACAGCCAUGCCGCGUGUGUGAAGAAGGCCUUCGGGUUGUAAAGCACUUUCAGCGGGGAGGCGUUACCCGCAGAAGAAGCACCGGCUAACUCCGUGCCAGCAGCCGCGGUAAUUC